CAGGUGCCCCAAAACUACCACCAGGACUACAGAACCAAAAAGGUGGCCAAACUUUCCACAGGAUAUUAUUAAAGCUGAUCUUGAUAGUGGGAGAGCAAGCUGAUUGUAAUGGAAUAUAUAUAAUACCUAGACAAUGUAUAAAUCUUGUUCUUAUUGGAACUGUAAAAACUAAACGCUGACAAAACUGACUCCCAUAUUUUUGACUUCCUUGAGACACAUUACCUAAAUAAGCAGGUAAAAUACAUUUUUAAAAUAGAUACUCAUGUAGUAAACUUGUGCAAGAGAGGGGUUCUGCAAUCUGGCAUUGGAGUUUCUUUGACAAGCACACCUGGGAGAUGGUGACAAUGAGAGUGAA
RNAcentral lists this long non-coding RNA (355 nucleotides) under Homo sapiens (human). RNAcentral describes it as "non-protein coding lnc-VCAN-2:1". Lineage: Eukaryota; Metazoa; Chordata; Mammalia; Primates; Hominidae. The record is from RNAcentral.